CCAACACCUGUGGAGUUUCCAAACAAAUGGGCUCAGAGUUCCUUGAUGCACUUUUAGUUACUGCUCCCACGUUUGAUUGUUUUGUAAUUAUAGUUGUAAAACGUGCUAUGAGGUAACACGUGGGGACAAAAAAAAUAAAAAAUAAAAAAUAAAAUCACACUGCAGAAUGGUAGGGGAUUUAUGGGAGCUACAACACAAAGAAUAACCCACCUUUCUUUCUUCACUGUUUCCCUUGGAAGCCAGCCACCGAAGUUUCCUUGUCAGUAAUACGGGGGUUUGUAAAUAGAACAAAGAGCUUCCUCACGCCGAGGCUCAUUAUAUAACCCCAGUGAAGUCAUGGUGUGUCUUCACAUGCAGUUCCCUUGAACUUUGCAUCUUUCUCCUCCUGAGAACAGUCCUGCAUGCCAGUUUGAACAGAUGUGGCUUCCUUUAGGAAAAGUUUUCUGUUAGGGUCAUUCCAACUUCCCUUUCAGAGCUUUCCAGCUUCACGUGCGCUUUGCUCAGGGGAUUACUACAGUGACCGCCCGCUCCAUGUGCUACUGUUAAGCUUCUCCUCACCUGCUGGCUGAGCUGAAUGUACGCCGAAAUCUCUGGUCCACAGAAAAACCUGACAUCUCGUGUUUUCCUGAAUCAAACCGGAAAGCUGCAAUUUCCUUUGAGCUCAAAUGAUGAGAAACGUCAUUUCAGAAGGAGCAAAAACGGCCUUACUGCAGCCUUUUGUUUGGGUGUUGUGGACACGUUUUCAUAUGAGACUUCAGCUCGUAAAACACCCCAGGAUCCAAGGAGUCCCAAAGGCACUCAGGCAGCACCCACUGCCCUGAAGUCAUCAAGGGAGAUGUAGAACAUGCCCAGAGUGAUCUGCUGGACAGAUGAAGUUUUAAAGCAUGAACUACUCAAACUUUGGAUCAAAGAGUGAAGCAAUCCAUUUCUGAAGUACAAACAGGAAAAAGUUAUAUGAGUCUUCUAGCAAUUUCAGGCAAAUCCAUCACGGAAGCAGCAUGCUUGGCCUUUUUACUGUGCAUCUGUCUGAGGUUUCCAGUAAGACUUUCCUGAUAUAUAGGAAGAGUCAAAACUCUAAUCUGUUUUAACUCUUUUUUAUUGUCUCUGCAGCACUAACUUUGAAAAAUGGCCUUGUCCCCAAAGAACUGCACACAGUCCAUGUAGGGAAGCUGUUAAAAUAAAUGCAUUACGUAAAAAUAUUGCAGAGGAACUCAGCUCUGAGGGUUUGGGAGCCACAGCAUAUAGAUAUAAAACAGAUCAGUAAAAGUACGAGUGGAGGUCAGAAACAGAGAACGAGGGAAGUCCCUUUCUGGCAGUGGUUGCACACGAUCUCUGAAACCAACAAUUCCUGCCCUUCUGUCAUGGGGCUUCAGCCUUUUAAUAAAUG
This is a long non-coding RNA of Gallus gallus (chicken), 1387 nucleotides long. Lineage: Eukaryota; Metazoa; Chordata; Aves; Galliformes; Phasianidae. The record is from Ensembl.